AACGAACGCUGGCGGCAUGCCUAACACAUGCAAGUCGAACGAGACCUUCGGGUCUAGUGGCGCACGGGAGCGUAACGCGUGGGAACCUGCCCUUAGGUUCGGAAUAACUCCCCGAAAGGGGUGCUAAUACCGGAUAAUGUCUUCGGACCAAAGAUUUAUCGCCUUUUGAUGGGCCCGCGUUGGAUUAGCUAGUUGGUAGGGUAAAAGCCUACCAAGGCGACGAUCCAUAGCUGGUCUGAGAGGACGACCAGCCACACUGGGACUGAGACACGGCCCAGACUCCUACGGGAGGAAGCAGUGGGGAAUAUUGGACGAUGGGCGAAAGCCUGAUCCAGCAAUGCCGCGUGAGUGAUGAAGGCCUUAGGGUUGUAAAGCUCUGUUACCCGGGAUGAUAAUGACAGUACCGGGAGAAUAAGCUCCGGCUAACUCCGUG
RNAcentral lists this ribosomal RNA (433 nucleotides) under uncultured bacterium. RNAcentral's name for it is "partial 16S ribosomal RNA". It matches the Rfam family "Bacterial small subunit ribosomal RNA", at positions 29 to 507 of the family's 1533-position model. The record is from RNAcentral.